GACGAACGCUGGCGGUGUGCUUAACACAUGCAAGUCGAACGGUAAGGCCCUUUCGGGGGUACACGAGUGGCGAACAGGUGAGUAACACGUGAGUAACCUGCCCUCAUCUCUGGGAUAACAGUCGGAAACGGUUGCUAAUACUGGAUAUGAGCUUGCAAGGCAUCUUGUGGGUUGGAAAGAUUUUUUUGGUUGGGGAUGGACUCGCGGCCUAUCAGCUUGUUGGUGAGGUAGUGGCUCACCAAGGCUUCGACGGGUAGCCGGCCUGAGAGGGCGACAGGCCACAUUGGGACUGAGAUACGGCCCAAACUCGUACGGGAGGCAGCAGUGGGGAAUAUUGCACAAUGGACGGAAGUCUGAUGCAGCAACGCCGCGUGCGGGAUGACGGCCUUCGGGUUGUAAACCGCUUUCAAUUGUGACGAAGCUUUUUGUGACGGUAGCAGUAGAAGAAGCACCGGCUAACUACGUG
This 466-nucleotide ribosomal RNA is filed under the name uncultured bacterium. RNAcentral describes it as "partial 16S ribosomal RNA". It matches the Rfam family "Bacterial small subunit ribosomal RNA", at positions 28 to 507 of the family's 1533-position model. The record is from RNAcentral.